This 465-nucleotide ribosomal RNA is filed under the name Vreelandella stevensii. RNAcentral describes it as "partial 16S ribosomal RNA". It matches the Rfam family "Bacterial small subunit ribosomal RNA", at positions 338 to 795 of the family's 1533-position model. Lineage: Bacteria; Pseudomonadati; Pseudomonadota; Gammaproteobacteria; Oceanospirillales; Halomonadaceae. The record is from RNAcentral.
CCUACGGGUGGCAGCAGUGGGGAAUAUUGGACAAUGGGCGAAAGCCUGAUCCAGCCAUGCCGCGUGUGUGAAGAAGGCCUUCGGGUUGUAAAGCACUUUCAGUGGGGAAGAAAGCCUUGGGGCUAAUACCCUCGAGGAGGGACAUCACCCACAGAAGAAGCACCGGCUAACUCCGUGCCAGCAGCCGCGGUAAUACGGAGGGUGCGAGCGUUAAUCGGAAUUACUGGGCGUAAAGCGCGCGUAGGCGGUCUGAUAAGCCGGUUGUGAAAGCCCCGGGCUCAACCUGGGAACGGCAUCCGGAACUGUCAGGCUAGAGUGCAGGAGAGGAAGGUAGAAUUCCCGGUGUAGCGGUGAAAUGCGUAGAGAUCGGGAGGAAUACCAGUGGCGAAGGCGGCCUUCUGGACUGACACUGACGCUGAGGUGCGAAAGCGUGGGUAGCAAACAGGAUUAGAUACCCCUGUAGUC